UACGGGGGGGGUAAGCGUUAUUCGGAAUCACUGGGCUUAAAGGGCGCGUAGGCGGGUUCUCAAGUCAGGGGUGAAAUCCCGCGGCUCAACCGUGGAAGUGCCUUUGAUACUGGGGACCUCGAGGGAGGUAGGGGCGUGCGGAACUUCCGGUGGAGCGGUGAAAUGCGUAGAUAUCGGAAGGAACACCGGUGGCGAAAGCGGCGCGCUGGACCUCUUCUGACGCUGAGGCGCGAAAGCCAGGGGAGCAAACGGG
This 253-nucleotide ribosomal RNA is filed under the name uncultured bacterium. Its description in RNAcentral is "partial 16S ribosomal RNA". It matches the Rfam family "Bacterial small subunit ribosomal RNA", at positions 524 to 776 of the family's 1533-position model. The record is from RNAcentral.